AGCCACUAGUACUUUUUCCAAGUAUACUCUGCUAUGUUUUGUACCAUCUUCCUAAUCCUUUCUGGCUGGCAAGGCUGCGUUUUAUGUUUUAUACACUUUGUGGCUGGCAUUAGUUACAAAUAACAUUUAUUUAAAGAAUCGAGCAAAAUAAUGAACAAAUUACAAAAAAAAAAAAAAAAAGGUUUGAAGUAUUUGCUUCUUGCCAAGGACAGAGGAGGAGGAGACCAGUGAUGAUUUUAGGGUUAGUUGUCACAGUCUAGAUUCACCGCUCUAGGACGAGUUAAAGCCAUGCUUACAAGAACAUUACAAGAGCAUUGCUUUAUUGCUCAGAGGUUGCUCUAUCAUAGCUAAGGAGCCAUUUUUAGACAUGCAGUAAAAGUAUAGAACAUUAAAUAAGAGGUAAGCAAACAAAGGAUAAGCCAUUUGUUUGGGAAAUAAUUUGAUGAUAAAUUUAUUCAUAUUAUUGUUUGUGAAAUAACUGCAGGGGAAAACAACAGACACAAUUUCUUUCUUUUGAAGGGCCCUAGCUGCUUCCUAAUUAUCUUAUUUGAUGCACAGAGAACCACGCUCACUCAUCUGUCGUUUGGUCUCCUCUGCACAUUGCUCAACGCUUCAGCACUUUCAUCCCCCCAUUCUGUACAAGAGGCCAACAGGGUCUGGAGAAGAGAGGCUAUUACCUGUACGUGGUGCAUCCGACAUCACGGACACCGAUGUUCUUCUUCCAUUCAUCUGGAGUGGCUCACUUUCCAUAGCAAUUACUGGCCGUGAGAUCAAAACUGGACCAUCAGGGGGAAUUGCGUGUCCUCUGGCAGACUGUUGCAUGCGUGUGAAUAGACUGGCCGAUGGUACUUGGCCAUUGAGUGUACUGGCAGAGUGACUCGCAGAGGAAAUUGUUGAGCUAGGAUCUCUAUUGAAGGCCACCCUCACAAAGUGGACAGUGGCUGAGGAUAACACUGUUCAUCUCACAUAUUUCUAUGUUAAAUUCCUACAGUUUAAACUAAACAGGUGGGUUUAUUUUUCAGUCAUUAAAUAUGUGAUACUAAAAUUAAUUGGACAGUAGUAAACUCUAUUCUAUGAGCACUAGCUGGACUAGGUCUGAUGGACAUUUCUAUUGGUGUGAAUAGGGAGGAAGAGGUCAUUGACCUUGAAGGACAAGAGCUCUGGGUUAUUGACCACUACCACUGAAACACAAUGAGCCGUGGUUAAUGGAGUAGUACAAGACAUCCAGAAAAGAAGAUGUGUUGUAGAUUUGUUGUGUGUGUGUGUGUGUAUAGCCAGGCUAAGUUAAAUCCUUCAUGUCCUUGUCCAUCACAUGGAUGUUGUGACCAGCUGUGCGUGUGUUCUACCUGUGUUGGCCCUCUGGUUUUACCUGCUCCAGG
Long non-coding RNA from Cyprinus carpio (common carp), 1379 nucleotides. Lineage: Eukaryota; Metazoa; Chordata; Actinopteri; Cypriniformes; Cyprinidae. The record is from Ensembl.